GAUUCUGGCUCAGGACGAACGCUGGCGGCGUGCCUAACACAUGCAAGUCGAACGGAACUAUUUUGAAGGAUCUCUUCGGAGUGACGGAUUUUAGUUUAGUGGCGGACGGGUGAGUAACGCGUGAGUAACCUGCCUCUGAGAGGGGAAUAACGUUCUGAAAAGAACGCUAAUACCGCAUAACAUAUAUUUGCCGCAUGACAGAUAUAUCAAAGAUUUUAUCGCUCGGAGAUGGACUCGCGUCCGAUUAGUUAGUUGGUGAGGUAACGGCUCACCAAGACCGCGAUCGGUAGCCGGACUGAGAGGUUGAUCGGCCACAUUGGGACUGAGACACGGCCCAGACUCCUACGGGAGGCAGCAGUGGGGGAUAUUGCGCAAUGGGGGCAACCCUGAACCGCAGCAACGCCGCGUGAAGGACGAAGGUCUUCGGAUUGUAAACUUCUUUUGUCAGGGACGAAAUCUGACGGUACCUGACGAAUAAGCUCCGGCUAACUACGUGCCAGCCGCAGC
RNAcentral lists this ribosomal RNA (507 nucleotides) under uncultured bacterium. RNAcentral's name for it is "bacterial SSU rRNA". It matches the Rfam family "Bacterial small subunit ribosomal RNA", at positions 15 to 518 of the family's 1533-position model. The record is from RNAcentral.